Long non-coding RNA from Nyctereutes procyonoides (raccoon dog), 2056 nucleotides. RefSeq lists it as uncharacterized. The record is from RefSeq and is a predicted model, not a curated record. The transcript is spliced from 5 exons. Lineage: Eukaryota; Metazoa; Chordata; Mammalia; Carnivora; Canidae.
UUUAGGUUGAAGCUAAUAAUGAAAAUAUACAGUCUUUGCAUUUAUGAUUUUGUUAAAAAAUGUUUUCUAUCAGAUAUUUAACUGUUUAUUUUUGCUUGUGCUCAAUUCAAAUUCUUGGUCUCUGGAGAUGCUUAUAAUUAAGCAAAUGGCCAUCUGAUUUUUUGUUUGUUUUCAGAUAGUCAUUUAUCCACUUAAGCAGUCUUGAGGCUGUCUCCCAGCUCUAGGUUCUUGAGACUGAAGCAGGAAAACAUACCCUUGCUCAGGGACCUGGCCCUCCUCUGUCACUUUUGGUGUAUUACUAUAGAGAAUAGCAAUGUAUCAGAAGACGAGCUUAAAGAAACAAGUAUCAGAACUAAUGGAUACAGAUACCAAGAAGCUGGAAUUUUAUGUCUCUGAAUACUGAAGUGUUGAUAUCAAAUUGAAAAAAAACCUGAAGAUGCUGCAUGUCACAGAUAAAUCAUUUAUGUGUUGGCUUCAGUCUUUGAGAAGCCAGUUAAUCCAUCUGGUCUAAAGAAGGAAGAGAUACAAGGCUCUGGGAUUGUGCAGGGGGAGUUUUGAGGCUGUUAAGGCAGAGUGGUUUCAGUUCAUUGUCUUUAGAGCAGUUGUGUUUAAACUACUCGCUCUAUGGGGUGUUUGGGUGGCCCACUUGGUUGAGUGUCUGCCAUUGAGUAGGUCAUGACCUUGGGGUCCUGGGAUCAAGCCUUGUAUUGGGCUUUCUGCUCAAUGGGGAGUCUGCUUCUCUUUUUCCUUCUCGAGCUCUCUCUCAGAUAAAUGAAUUCUUCAACUACUUGCUCUAGAAAUCACUUUGAGGGGGCAAACCAUAGUGAAGCCAUUGAACUUAUUGCUACUUGUGAUGCAAAAACUAGAAUAUUUGGCAUUUAACAAGAGUAAAAAUAUAUUUUUUUAAGAUUUAUUUAUUUAUUCUAGAGAAAGAGAGCACACAUGAGCACACAAGUGUGAAGGGAGGGACAGAUGGAGAGGGAGUGGAUACUUAAGCAGACUCCCUGCUAAGUUCAGAGCCUGAUGGGAGGUUGGAUCCCAGGACCUGAGAUCAUGACCUGAGCAGAUAUCAAGAGUUGGUCACCUAAUGGACUGAGCCACCCAGCUGCCCCAAAGAUCCAUUAUUUUUUGUUACUUCCUUAGAAAUUUUAUUUUCAGAAUUGGACAGACAACCCAUUGCUGACAGUGUCGUUGGGUUUAGGAGAUGGAUUGGUUGGGAUGGGCUUAAGGAUUUGGGCAUAAAGGUGGAAACUGGGUGGGAACCAUAGCACGGGCAGAGUCUUCCUGGGUUCCUGGGACAGUCAUGAUGAGGAAAUUAGAUAAGAGGACCAAGAUUCUAACCCAGUCAGAUGGAUACCCAAGAGUGCUGGAGUCAGAAUGAAGCUGGGAGUGAUACUUUGAAUCAGAGGUCAGCUCAUCAUAGGGCUUUUUAAAAAUAAAACAGUAGGCUGUAUUAGAGAAAAGAGCAGUUAUAUGAAUCUUGAGUGAUCAGUUUUCCUCUAAAAUAUUAUUUUAUCACUUCUGUGUUCACAGGACUUAAAAUAUGUUUCCUAAGCUCUACCUUCUUUGUGGCCUUCUGUGGACACUGGCCAAUGGACUUUUGAAGGGGAAAAUGAACUCAGCCAGUCUCUUAAUUGGAGGCUGGACCUUUGGAAUGGCUGCUGAGGUCACAGAGAGAGAAAGAGAGAGAGGCAGAGACACAGGCAGAAGGAGAAGCAGGCUCCAUGCACCGGGAGCCCGACGUGGGACUCGAUCCCGGGUCUCCAGGAUCACGCCCUGGGCCAAAGGCAGGCGCCAAACCUCUGCGCCACCCAGGGAUCCCCCUUUUCCUGACUUUUUGAAGAGGCACCGUCUGUAGAGUCUAACACUAUUUGUAUUUUUAAAAGCUCAGUGGUAGAAUUUGUCUCCGCACUGUAACUACAUAUGUAACUUUUUCCAGAACAUGUCAUGAGUAUAAAGAUUUUUCCCCAACCUGCUCUCCGCUUUGAGAGGCAAGGGGCGUUGUGCAUGGAGGAGUGAGCAACUCAGUGCCGUGGUGUUCAUGUGAAAGAGACAU